AGAUUGCAUGUGAGUGAGAGCGAACGAGGAUCCGAAAGGGUGUACACAACUUCAAUAUUACCUCCGCAGUUGGCACUAUAAACCACAUUCAAUACAGUUGUAUCACAAUUGUAUAACAGAUUUAGUUGAGAAGAAACACUACCAUAAGGUUGAAACUGGUCAGCGCUCUCAAAUGUGCUGUUAUUAGGCUUGUCACUCACACUCACACUCACAGUACAAAUACCACCCCAGUAAUCGUCUCUAGCGACUGUGAGUUUCUGUGUUGUAUUGUCCCAUUCAAGAAUACGGUAUUUGACGUCAUUGAUGGUUAUCUUUGGAACACUUUCUUCGCAUGUAAGCUCCAUAUUAGGAUCAGAAACACUACCACAACGCUCUUCUCUGUUAUUUCCCCAGAAUGGAUACUUGAGGUUUGUGAUGCUGCUACUUCCGCAUUCAAAAGCUUCGUUGCAGUCUGUGUAAUCAUUGCACAUACACGUUGGAAUAUUGAUGAUGAAGAUCAUCAAAAUGGUGAAGGAGAAAAAUGAAAUAAUAAUGGAAGAAGAUGGAUAAUGAAGCAGAGGUUUCAUUUUUGCCACUAGACCAAAGAUGAAAUAGUGGGACAAGUGUGAAUAAUAUGAUUGAUUUUGGUGAGAUAAAGAUAAAUAAUCAUUUUGUCAGCUUAAAAUUUAGAAUAUUCAACUCCCAUUUCACUUUCAUUUUAAUUCAAUUCAAUGCAUGAUUAUUUUCGAUUUCUUUGAAGUUUCUGCGAGACUGGAUCGAAGCUACUGCCAAUGUAGAAUUUAAUACACGAAGAACUUUGUUUUAGUCGUUGUAUUGCCAAUGUAGAAUUUAUAUUAAUUAUUUAUUGGGUCAUGCUGAUGUGUGUUCUUAUAACGCAUGUUAAAUAUUAAAUUCCUUGCCAUUAAUGAUAAGAAUUAAUUAAAAAAAAUUAAUAUUAAACUUUGACUGAUGCUAGUCACACAAAAAAAAAACAAAUUACAUCCAAAUUUAUUUAAAAUUUUACAAUAAUACCAAAAUUGUCCUCUUCAUGUAAAUUUUUAAAAAUUCAUCUUUUAUGAUCAUUCUGAACCCUUACUCCCUUUCAUCCACAAAUCACCAUAGAUGUGCAACCAAUAUCUGAAUCAACAUCUUUGUUAUUGAUCUGUACUAUAUUCAUAAAGGUUAGUGAAUUUCAUAAAUUUCAUUUUCGAUGAGUUUCUAUUUGUUUAUUGUUUGUUUUGAUAUGAGAUAUGCCUGUCAAUUUGAUUUUAAGUGGGAGGUUAGUGUAAAUUAAGUUUACGUGUAUGUAUAUAAAAGGGGUUAGUGUAGUUUACGUAUGUAGGUUAAUGUAAAUUCAAGUUUACGUAUGUUCAAUUUAGGUUAGUGUAAAUUCAGUUUACAUGUAAAUUAAGUUUAUUUAUGUUCAAUUUAGGUUAAUGUAAAUUUAGUUUACGUAUGUAUAUAAGAGGUUAGUGUAAAUUCAGUUUACUUACGUUCAAUCUAGGUUAAUGUAAAUUAAGUUUACUUAUGUUCAAUCUAGGUUAAUGUAAAUUCAGUUUAAUUACGUUCAAUCUAGGUUAAUGUAAAUUAAGUUUGUAAAUUCAGUUUACUUACGUUCAAUCUAGGUUAAUGUAAAUUAAGUUUACUUAUGUUCAAUUUAGGUUAAUGUAAAUUAAUUUUACUUAUGUUCAAUUUACGUUAAUGUAAAUUUAGUUGAUUUGAAAUUUUUAUUUUAGUUAAAGGGUAUAUUAGUCAUUCUGGGGUGUAACUUGUUUUUUUGGGGUGUGACUAGCACCAGUCUUAAACUUUUUGAACAAUAAAUUAACACAAUUUUCGAUACAUAAUUUCUAUUAGUAAAUUUUUUAACAUUAAACACAAUUUAGUAUUUCCCUUAUUUAUUUACCAAUAGUAUGUUAGUACUUAUUUAUUUUACAUAUUUUUUCAAUCAACAAUAUUAAUAAAUAUCUUGAAGAUAUAAACUACUCCUAAUUCUCUAUCUUAAAAUAUAUAAUCGUAAUAACUAACGGUCAUUACAAACAAAUUUAAUCUUAGCAAUAAGCAACCGAAGACUUCUUACUUUUCAUUUUUCUUGUGCUUCGUGUUUUAAUCUUGAUUUAUGAUCAAGACUUGAAAAUUGAACUAUUGUGAAUAAAUUACACUUAACUGCUUGCUUUAACCAAAAGUUUAGAGCAACUGAUUUUAUUUUUUUGUAUCUUUUUCUUUGAUUGUGAUUUAUUUUUUUAAAGGAUUCUUUGUUUGUGAUUAUAUUGUCGGGAAGCAUAGCAUAGUCCAAACCUAACUCUUUUAGCAAGCAUAGAAUAGUCCAAACUUGACUAGACUCCUAAAUUUUGAUUAUAAAAUCAAGAAUAAUGUGGUACCAAAUGAUAGUAUAAUCAAGAAUAGGUCAGACGCAUUGUAAAAAAAUAAAUAAAAAUAUAUUAGUCAGAUAUUUUGUAAAAAAAAAAAUUAGGUAUCAAUAUCUUAAAUUGACUUCCUCUAAAAAAAAUCAUAGAUUAACAAUAAAUCAACAUUAAGAGUACUUAUUCAAAAUUGUCUAUGUGUUUUGACAUUUGUGUCUAAUCUUAUUAUUUUAUCAUUAUUGUAAAGUAGUAUCAGAAAGAGUAUGGAAAGAGAGAAGUUGAUGAGAAAGAGAGUAGAUUUCACAUAUAGUGUUUGGUACUAAAAAGAAAGGAGAGGAAUAGAGGAGAAGAAAAUGAAGAAAACCUAACGUUUUUGAAUUAAAACUAAUCGAAAGGACCAAAAUGUGUAACGGAGAAAAGUUAUGGGACCAAAAUAAAUCAAAUUUUACUUGAGGGUCCAAAACGAUACUACCUGAAUAAUUAAGGUACUAAAAAUGCAAUUUAGCCAUUAAUUAAAUAAAUAGUGGCCGCAUAUCAAGAGGCAUAUCAAAACCAGGGAGAAAUAUGGAAAAGAAGAAAAAAUUGCAGCUCCCCUCCAUUUCUUCGUACAUGCAAAGAGAAAUGCAAAAGGCAUGGGUCCCACCUAAUUUUAUCUCUCUUCUUAGUCUCUCUUCUCAACCAAACACAAGAGAUUGGUUAUCUCUCCCCAACUUCUCUCUCCCCUCUUUCUCUCUUUCUUAUUUCUACUCUACCAAACACAGUGUAAGUCUUAAUAAGUUAAGAGAGUUAAGCAUGUGAAAAAUGAUUCAUUAUAAACUCAAUGAUUCAUGUUCCUUGGAUCCACUCUCCCUCCCACAUCAAGGAGGAUCAUAGCAAAUUUCUAAUAAAAAUCAUAAAAUUUUGAAAAAUGCUAACAAUUGUUUUUAUAGCAUUGUUUAACGAACUAAAAAAGAUAACUUUUGAUUAGAAAAUGAUAUAAUUAUUAUUUAUACAAUUCUUUAACUUAUUAUAUCAAUAUAUGAUUUAUUAUUAUGUAUUUCUUAAAUAAUAACUUUAGUACACAUGUUAGCAUGACUCACUUAUAAUGAGUUACAUAUCUAUUAUAUUUUCAAUUUAUAGUUCAUUCCUAUGUCACACUUGAAUUUCAACAUACACCAUCUCCUUUCUAAUAAUAUUAGAACUUAAAAAGAAUAAUUCACAUAGUCAAAAUUAUAUGGAGUGCUGUUUUAUAGAGGAGAAAGACCAACUAGUUAUAUUAUAGUUAUAGUUUAGUACAAAUACUCCCCAUUUAUUAUUCACAUAAGGGGGGAAAGAUUUCGGUUCUGUAAGACAAGAAAAGUACACCCUUAUUUCGGUCAUAACAAUAAAUGUAUAGCUAAGCCACAAACGGGGAAAAGUACAUUUGAUCUUAGUUAUGAUAAAUCAUCCCACAUUACCCAGCCCUAAGCAUAAAGUGUAUUAAAAUCUAAAAUGUCUAUUUGAGAGAAAUUUAUAUUCAAUAAUGCACGUAGUAGGCCUGCAUUUUUACACCUUAUAAAUAAAUAGGGAAUUAGAGAGCACCACAGUGAUGUGCACUUCUUGAGAGGACUUGUACAAGACAAUGCAAACAAAACAACCGAACGAUUUGGUCAUACAUACAACUAGAUUACUUGAAAUCUUAAACAGAUACUGAACCAGUGAACCCUCUAUUGCGAAGAUUGUCAUUAUCCUAAGCAACGGUUCUGACCUUAGUCAACAAAAGCAAUGCUACCUUACAAUUAAUAAAUGAUUGAAGCUUUGUUUUCUUUGGUUCCAAUCAUGGUUCUAUAACAUACCGUAAGAGUGUAAACAUUCCUAAGUACGGAUUAAUUUCAUAAUCUCUGAGCAAUUUGUUCAGCCACUUGAUCCAAGUUUAAUGUGACAUCACUCUUUUUUAAGUCGAGUGAUUAAACUAUGAGAGGAAGGCACAAAUAAAAGAAGCACAUUAAAAAAAAGAUGUAUAGAGGAAAACAUAAACUUGUGGGUUGCUUAAGUGUAUGUUUACUUCCACUUUUAAAGGGAACAUAAUUGAUUUUGAAGUUGUAUAAUUAAUUUUGACAUGUUGGCUUGUUGCAAAGUAGAAUUGAUUUUGUCUCUUGAAUUGAUUCUCAUUAAAGCUAGGAUUUGUAGCCUUUGGUUAUAAAAUUGAUUUUCACGCAAAUUUAUAGUUCAACGGUAUUUAAACACAAAUCACUUCUAGUAAAAAUAUUCAAACACAAAUCACUUAUAAUAAAAAUGACUUUUAACCAAAAUCAAUUCUACAGAAUUAAUUCUAUCAAAAUCGAUUAUUUCCACCACACAACCAAACACAGACCAAGUAUGUUAAAUCUAAUAACUGGUGUGUCAGUACAAAACUAGAACUUUGAAUAAUAAUAGUAUAAUGAUUUUUUCUAGAUUACCUUCGAAGAAUGGUGGGUAAUUUACCCACCAACUAAUGAAAAUGAGCAAUUUGUUGGUGGGAUCAAGAUAGUUCAUGGAUACCACUUAAAAAUGUGCUUAUGUGACUAAUGUAUAUUGGUUGGAGUAAAUUACCACCAUUCUUCCAUGGGUAUCCUAGUUGUCACCUGGUAUAAUACUACGAAAAAGAAUAAUAAUACUACGAAAAAGUUAUCUUAGAAGGCAAAUGGAGACAAUCUUUGUAACAAGGCAUCAUCGAUUCCUACACAGCAGCAAUUCCAAUAAAAAGAAAAAAUAUACACGAUAAGGAAAAUGUUAACCAUUGUCCUUAAAUAAGGAGAUAAAAAUAAAAAUAUAAUAUUAAAAAAUGAUGAAAAGUGAUAAAUUUAACUUUUUAAAAAUCAAAAUGUUGUUGAAACCAAUGCAAACUCAUACUGUAUUUAACUUUUUGGCUUCUUUAAUCAAUGCCUUGUGAGCAUUGCGGACAAUGGUUAGCAAACCCAUAUUCUAAUUAUAAUUAUACCAACUAUUCUAUUUAUCAAUCACUUCAUUAAUCAAUCAGUGCAUUUCUUCUAUUCAUUAAUAAUUCUUCUAUUUAACCAAAUAUUUUGACUCCAUUAAGAGUAAUUAACCAUCAAACGCACAAAAUUCAGCAAACGACGUCGUACAUUAUUAAAGCGCCCAUUUCCGCCAAACGUUAGUUUCGUUAACUUUUUACCAGAAACAUUUCCGCGCACGUUAGCAGCAAAAACUAAACGUGAUUAUUUAUUCAUUUGGCUACAACUAAACGUGAUUAUUAAUAAUUUUUUACUAUUACUAUCUCCAAAAAAAAAAAAAAAAUCUGAAUUCAACCGUACAGUAACAGUAGAGAGAAACUGUAACCGUUACUCAGGAAUAGUGAACAAUACCGGCCGCCAUGCUCUUCUCAGUAACCUGUAACGAAACGCUGAUGACACCGGCCGGAGAGCCGCGACGGCAGAAGAUCGACGGAACGGAGAUCCAGUUCGGAAUCGGACAGCGACGGUGGAGCAAUCUUUCUGAUCGUAAUUCUGCUGCUGUUGCUGCUGUUGGGAGAUAUUCUUCUCGUCUUGUAGCAUCGUCGGCGGAGACGGAAGUGACGGCGGAGAUGGAGAGGAGACGAAUAGGUCUUUAAGCUUGUGGCGAACUUUGACUUCAUCGGAGGAAGGAGGAGGUGGAUCUAGGGGAGGAGGAUGGAAACGGCGGCGGUCGUGCGGACGAGUGAGGAACAUGCGGAGGGUUUUGCGGCGGCGGAGGUGGAUGACGGGACUGGUGGUGGGACUGCGUGUGGGGCUGUUGGCGAUGGCGCAUUGUGUAGCUAAGAGCUUGAAUUUGUGCAUUUAGGGAUAGAAUUAAAUGAAUUUGGGGUUUUUUGUUUUAUUUGUGAAGAGAGAUGAAGGUUAGAUCUGAGAAGGAUAGUGUUUGGAAUUAGAAAGUAGAAUGAGAAUAGAAUGAUUGGGUUGAGUAUUAUCGGGGGAAUAUUAAAGCUGUCUUUUCUUCUCUUGCCCCUAUCUCCUACUCUAAUCCUACUACUUACUACAUACUACUAGGAGUACAUCACAUAAUGGAAGGAAUUAUAUUUAGGCUAUGUUUGGCGAGAAACAUUUUUCAGCUUAUAACUUACUCACUCCGAGGUCACAUAUAUCAAUUAUUCAAUAAAUUUAAAAAAUAAUUUUUUUUUCUUAUAAUAGUGACAGAAGGAAGUAGUGUUUUUUUGGUAAAAUUGAUUUGUGUAAUAAUCGUCAUAUUCUUAUGAGUUUAUAAUUUAUUCUUAUUGACUUGUAGUGUUUUUUUAUAAGAUAACUUAACUGGCUUAUAGUUUAUCAUUUUUCAUCUUUAUUUUACCUUUGCUUAAUUGGAGAAAAAAAAUUAAAUAUUAAUGAAAUAAUUUUUUUGGUCUUUCAUAUUUAUAAGUUAGUUCAACGGUUAAUUUUAUCAAACACUACAAAUUCAAAAUAGUUAACUUAUCUGUUAUCAGCUAUAAGUUAGCAAACUCAAUUAUCGGGAUAAGUGAGCUAAUGCUCCAUAUAACAAGGAUAUUUUAUUUGAUGUAUUUGUAUUAAUUAUAUAUAUUUUUUAAAGACUAUUUUGGAAAGAAAGCGGAUAUACCAUGUCGAUUUUUCCGAUUACCGCACCGACCGAGAACAAUACUCGUUUUUAAACUGUAUAUUAUUCACAGAGAUUUUGUAUCUUAUUAAAGUGUUGUUUCAGAUUUAGAAACUGAGACGAAGACAACUAAUGACGUCGAAAGUUGUGGGGUUUGACAUUUUAGAAGCAUCUCUUCAUUGGGUUAGGUUGAUAGUUUGGAUAUUAGUAGACAAAAUGUAUAUAUAGUGUUCUUAUUUUGUUUGGGUUCUAUUUAUAAAGUGUUGACCUACGAUGAUUUAAACCAAUAAGAGAGUAAGUAUUAAAGAUAGUGUUCAAAAGCAAGUGUCGUUAGCAUUCCUCAAACAUGAGCUGAAUAAUCAUAUUAACAGCUAUUUCAACUAACAGAUUUAUAUAAUCAUUCUUUCUACUAACAAAAUUAUAUAAUCAUAUUAACAACUAUUUCAACUAAUUAUGAUCAGCAAAGAGCCUCUGUGUUGUUUAGUAAUAAUUAGUACAACUGCUGAAUAACAUGGCCUAAAUAUUCACCACUUGAUGUAUGUGGAUAUGUAUCAUUUACAGUAUCUUACAAAAUUCACCCGCCAAAGUAUAUCUGAAUCCUGAACAACAACUCUGGCCAUUCACUUGUGUGGUUAACCUCUUCAUCUUAGCAUUCCCCUAUUCUGAAAUAAGAUAAUGAAAAUUCAGCAGCUGUAUGUACUCACUCAAUUUAUUAUUUUCCUAUAGUCCUUUCAUUUAAAUCCUAACUUAUGUAUAUGUUAUACACAUAACAAAAAAGUAACAAUUAAAUUACUAUGUAUAUAUAUUUCAAAUACAUCAAACAAACUAAAAUAUUGGAAUAUUUACACUGAAAGUUUAUAUUAUUUCUAACUCUGAGACAGCUACUAAUAGUAAUACUAUUAUCAUACAUGCAAAAAAUAAUACUGUAAAAACACAUAAGCUUUUAGAAGAAAAGAUAUUUGAAGGCCAAAAUGACUUCUGAACUAGCUCAUUGAAACCAGUAGAGUAGUUUUACAUUUUACCAUCUAAAAUCUAAGUCCUCGCCAAAAGAAAAAUGAAAUCUUAGAACCUAUGAAGAAGUAGAUGUAGAAGAGCCGCUAACCCAUUUUUCAGCAACAGAAUCUGGUGAAGUUGGGUAAGGACCCUUCUUCAGAAGUACAAGCUCAUCUGUUCUGACAACAACAUCCAAUACUUUUGAUUCCUGUGUUUCAGGUUCAUCACUCUUGAUUGCUCGCAAUACCUCCACAAUCUCAUCCAUUGAAGGUCGCAGGUCUCUUUGUUGCUGCAAACACCUAAAUGCCAAUUCAGCCACUGCUGUUGUCAUCCUCUUCACAGAAUUGUCCUUUUCAUAUCCAAGAUUAGGAUCAACCAAAUCAUACAAUUCUUGGCUCUGAAUUUUAUUGACGGCCAUGUUAGCUAAGUUCACAUCGUUGCGAUGCCUGGUAAUAUCCACGGCUUGUAAUGAUGAUAUAAGCUCGACCAAGACUACGCCGAAGCUAUAAACAUCACUUUUGUCUGUGAGUUGGUAACACUGAUAGUACUCAGGAUCAACAUAACCAGGUGUUCCUUGUGGAGCUGUUGAUACAUGUGUGACAUCGUUCGGAAACAACCUUGAAAGACCGAAAUCAGCAACCUUAACAUGGAAUUUUUCGUCUAGGAGAAUGUUAUUCGAUUUAACAUCACGGUGCAUGACAUCCGAUGCAUGGAGAUAGGCUAGUGCCUCAGCUGUUUCUAAUGCAAUGUCCAAUCUUACAGACCAAGGAAGCAAACAGGAGCUUGAUCGGUCCCCAUGAAGAUGAUCAGCUACUGUUCCAUUUGAUAUGUAUUCAUAAACAAGGAGAAGCUCUCUGCUAUGUUUGGAGGUGCAUCCAUAGAGUGUCACCAGGUUCUUAUGCCUUAAGCGUGCUAGAAUCUCAACUUCAUUCAUGAAUUGCGCCACACGUUUAAAAUUGCUUUCGUAAUGGCGUUUAACUGCAACCACGCGUCCAUCUUUGAGAUCACCUGAUCAACAAUCAGAGGAUAUAUAGUUUAUAAGAAAACUAGAAAACUAAGGGAAAUCAAUUCUGUGAGAAAAUGUAUAUUGGAAAGUGGAAAUUAUAUUGUUAAUUACCUUUGUAAACAGUGCCGAAACCUCCCUCUCCAAGUUCUUUAGAAGUGUGGAAAUUGUUAGUAGCUUCUUCUAGUUCUUCAUAGGUAAAUACCUGGACACCAAAGUAGAAACUCUUUGGCAUUGUGCUGGUUUUGGAAGAGGGGUAAGAAGGAAUACUCUGAGACGAAUUAGUGGUGGAGGUUAGAGUGCCGGUGUUUGUGCCUGAGGUAGUGCUUGAAGGAGGCAUGUACAGGUCAUUGCUUAUUGGUUUCUUGGCAUUUUUCCUCCUUCGCCGCACCACAAAGCAUGCAACAAAGCCAAGAAGGCAAAGAGCUGCAACUCCUCCAACUACGCCACCUGAAGAUAAUGCUAGACAUUAGUAAAAUUUUACUUCUAAGAUCUAAAUUCAACCCAUCUAUUAGCAAAAUGGAAAUUACCUAUUAGACCGCCAUUGGUAGAGCUAUUACCUGCAACAUAAAAAAAUGAUGUCAGAACAAAGAAUAUGACAUGGAUAGAAAAGGGAUGGAAAAAAAUUAGCGGGCAAGUCUCAUGUUCUGUUGUUCCAAUAACAAUAAAACAUCUUAAGUUUUUGUUAUUCCAAUUAAUCAUCGUUAAUAUUCUGGUUUUAAAUUGCAGUAUACUACAAGAUAAAGAUUUUAGAGGUCUCAGCACCGACACCAUGAGUGGUUGCUUAAGGUAUAUUUAUCUGCAAUUUUUGCCAUAUAAAAAUCGCAAUGCAAUCACAGCUACAACCACAAUUUAAAUCAUGCUUAAAGUCAUUAGUUCUACAUGAAAUAAGAAUCAUCAACAAACACCAAACACAAUAGUUAACCAAAAGAAAAGCUAAAAUACCUGAAGGACACAACCCAUUACCACAAAUACAAAUAUGUUCGUUUUCAUCAGAAUCAAACCCACAUUGUUGGCCACCAGAACUAAUACACUCAAGACAAUCAUUCUCAAAAGGGUUGUUAUAAUUCACAUUAAACCCUUCCAUCAAAACCUCCCUAAGCAAAGAACGAUUACCAGCAAACCUAUUAGCUUGCUCUUCAAGAAUUGGCACCCCAACACCAUAAUCACAUUGAACAAACUUAAGAACUGGGUCUAAAGGAAAUGGACCAAUCAAAGUAUAUGAAUUGUUCUUAUAUCCAUUACUAUCACAGUAAAACAAAUUAUGUGGCUUUUCGGUGAAUAAUGAAGUGGGUUGGCACCCAUAAAACAAAGUAAUUUUACUGUUUCCCAAACCGUUGCUAAAGCUAGUUCCACCAAAAGUUGAGUUAACAUAAUGAUGGGUGCAUGUUUCAUUCCAAAGGUCUAAUCUUGCUAAGGUGAGAGAAUGAGUUACCGAGUUGACUUGAAGAACUCGGUAACUAACUGAGGAAAUGUUCAACUCUGGAACAUUGUUUUUGCAGUUCAGGUGAAACUGUGGUGGCCCACAGUAGGAAGGACGGUCGCCACCGGUGAAAGGGUAGGAAAGUUUGGUUAUGUGGCCACAGUUGAAGGUGGUGUUGUUGCAGCUAGAGAGUGAUGCAUGAGAGGGUAAAGAUGUCGUAUGACGGAGAUAGAAGAUGAAGAAGAUGAUGAAGGUGAUGAUGGGAGAAGAGAGGGACAAGGACAACAUAAUUUUGUUUCCUUAAUUUGGUUUUGUUGAAAUUUGCAAGCAUAGAAGAGUUGUUUUGUUACUUGUUGGGUUAGUAUUAUAAUGAGAUAAUAAUUAUCUAAUAGUUUGGACUGAAGAAAAAAAAUAAAGAACAGAAAACAUGAAGAUGAGUUUUGUUGACUUGGACUUUGAUGUCAUGUGAACAAUAUAUAAUCUAUAAACUGAGAUUUUUUAAGCAUUAUUUAGCAGCCAAGUGAGCCUUUUUCUAUUCAUUUUUUGUCCUGUUUGUAUUAUUUUAAAACAAUUGGCUGGUGGUAUAGUAAUAUAGUAUGUGGAAUUGAAAGGUAUAGUAUUUUAUGGUCAAGCAACAGUUUCUUAUUUGGUUGAAUGGAGGCUGUUCAAAAUCUAGAACUAUAUGGUUGAAAGGUAUUGGUCAAUAUAGAACACAUGGUUUGGAAGUUUUUGCAGGUUCAGAUGGUGGAAGUGUCUGCUUGAUUUUUUAUUUGUAUUUUUCUGGAGAGAAAGGGAAGAGGGGUUAGUUGGACUUGGUUAUAUUAGUUAAAUUGAACAGAUACAUGUAGUGACAUCAUUUGACAGGAAUAGUGGAACAUGUUCAAUGACAGUGGCAAUUGAGUUUAGUUUUAGAGAUUGAAUAUUUGGAGAAUUAAUAUAUAUGUCAUCAAUUCUAAAGUUUCAUUUUCAGAAAGAAAAAAAAUAAAUAGAGUAGCAGAAAUGGAAAAAAAAUCCAGUAUGGUUGUAUCUUCCAAUUUAUUCAUCUGUCAAAAUUUUCAUCCAAUUCAAAUUGUCUCUUACAUUUGCUAAAAAGAUAAUGAACUUUCAUGCCUAGUAAUGUUUAUGCAAGAAUUUUUAUACCUUGAGACUCUACCCUUUCUUUGCAGGAGGACUUUGUUGAGAGCAUAAGAAAUGGUUUGUGUUUAUAAAUGAGAGUCAUCUCUCAACUUAAAAGUUAGUUUUGUAGGGUUAAAUUAGUUCUAAAGCAAAUUUUAAGAUGGUAUCAAAGUCUAUCCAAGAUCUAUUUUCCCAUCCACUAUCAAGCUACGCAAGUCACGCUACAAAUAUCCAGUCUUAGGUGUGUGAGAUGAAAUACGGCCUAAUGAUAUGUUUAUGAGUGGAAGAUCUCUCACCUCACAAACUAGUUUUGUAAAGUUGAGUUAAAUCCAACCCAAAUUCUAAGAGUGUGUUUGGAUGGGGGAAUGUUUUGAGGGAAUGUAAUGUUAUGAGGGAAUUCAAAUACUUUGAGGUGAAUUCCAUUGUUUGAAUGGGGAAUGUAAUGUAAUGUUGAGGAAAUGUAAUGUUAUGAGGGAAUUCAAAUACUUUGAGGUAAAUUGUCUAGAAUUUUAAAUUCUUAAAUUUUCAAAUUACCUUAUCCAAACACACUCCAAGAGUUUUGAUGAUAAACUUGAUUUCCUUACUGCCCUAGUUUGUGUGGGUUUUCUUAUAAAAUACAUAACUAUAUACUAAACUAAUUGAAGUGGCCAAAUAUCCACCUUUGGAAAAAUAGGUUCAAGAUGGACAAAUCAACAUAAUUAGUUUACUCUAUAAAAAUCAUUUUAAUUUUCACCAAACGAAUAAAGCUACAAAGGCAAAAAGAAACCCAAUGCUAUCAAAAUAUCUUGUGAUAAAAAAGAGGUUAUUAAGAGUUAAGACCAACAACUUAAUCAAGGUGUCAAAGACUAUCAAAAUCGUAGAGACACCUACAAGACCAAAAAUAGAAUUCCUUUCAGAAGUCUUUAACAAGAUCAUCAAGAGACUCACAUCUACUAAUGCAAUAAAUUCUGCAUUUUGAAGGGGACAUGCAAAUCCAAAGUCAGAAAGGAGGAAUUAUUUGCAGAUAUUUGAUGAAAAAACGAAAAGAAUCUAAAUGAAAACAAGUCCUUAUUAGGAUUAUAAUUAGAAAAUCUAAGAGCUUGACGAGCUUCCAAGAUGAAAAGACAUUAUUGAAUGCAAAAACAUGACACAACAGUGGAACCUACAAUGGUGUUCACCUGAGCUACAUGAAUGUGGAAAGGAUCCAUCCUUGCAAAAGCAAGUGAAUUCCCUUGAACUUGACUCAUAACCACAGUGUCCACCAGAACUUUGACACUCAUGGCACAAACUAUUAUUUGCAUUCCACUCCACCCCAAAACCAUUAUCAAUAACAUCCUUCAAAUUUUCCACACUUGAAUUUGUUGCGACCCUUUCAGCCUCUGACUCCAAAAAUGGAACAACCACUCUAGAUUUGCAUGUUCUCAGUGUCUCACUAAACGAAUCCAAACUCUCGGCAUUAUCAGCAACGCUCUCCAACAUAAAAUAAUUAACCAUUUGAGUUCCAUUUAUACUACAGUUAAACUGCGGGGAAAAGCUAUCUGGCAUAAGAAAUGGGGUGUGAGGACAAUCAUAGUAGAGUGUCAAAUUAUGAGAAUCCGAACCAUAAUCGAAGAAAGUGCAAUCUAAUGUUGUGUUUUUAAGGCUGGUGGGACAAACAUUGUUCCAAUAAUCAGUUCUAACAACUUUGAGUCUAUGAUCUGAAUCACUGACUUCAAGAAUUUUAUAAUUUUGUGACAUAAUGGUAAUGCUUGCUAAUUCAUCUUUGCAUUGUAGCUCAAAAGAAGGGUGGCCACAAUAUUGUGGUCUACUUGAUCCCCAGAAAGGAUACCUCAAGUUUUUUAGGUUUGCACAGUCAAAUAAAGAACUGCAUUUAUUGUACUGCUGCAAAUUAUCAGCACAAGAUGAUGUUGGGAUUUUGAUUAGGAUUAUGGUUGUGAUCAAGAAUGAGAAGAUGCUUGGAUGAAGAAGUUGCAUCUUUAGUAAAAAUGGAUUUGUGGAGAAACAAAGGAUUUGGACACUGAAAUAGGAUUUUGCCAAGUUGAUGUGAGUUUGAUGAGUUUUAAAGUAUACUAGUAGUAUUGAAUUGAUGCAAAUGAAAAUUUAGGUCACCUAUAGUACUAAUAAUAUUUGUAUUUUCUGUUGGAAAUUAGUAUUACUUUACCUAACACUAGUAGAAAUGAGAGAAACUGUAAGAAUUGAUGCUUGGAGUCAAACAAUAAAUCAGUUUUCAAAUUACUAUGUCUAAAUACUCUAAACUACUCAAGCCUACCAAAUACUUAUGUGAUUCAUGAAUUAAUCAAAAGUCAAAAGUGGUGGGACAGUGACACGUUUCAACUUUUAACCAAUAAUAAAAAAAUAAAAGUAAAAAGUAAUCCCUAUAAAAAAAUGUAAUAAGUAUCAAAACAUUGAUAAAAGUCCCAAGUUUAAUAAGAUAUGGCAUGAAAAUGUGUUUAUAAGUGAGGACAAUCUUCAUUAAGAUUGAGUUAAACUCAACCCAAAGUUCUAAAAUGGUAUCACAAAUCUAUCUAAAAUCGUAUGAUAUCUUGUCAGCACUAUCGAAUCAUUCAGAUCACGAUUGAUACGUCCAAUUAUGACUGUGUGGAGGUUGCCAACGAUUUUAAUUCAGCAAAGGAGACUCUUUGACACGGUCAUAUCAUAUGGAUGGUGCCAAAAUUAGGCCACAUAAUAAUCCAAAUUAAAGAAUAUUGCUAGAGUUGGACCAAUUAAAACUCUAGGAUUUUCAAAGAUGUGACAACGUAAUAGUUUGGUGAAAAUCAUGUAGGAAAUGGUCAAGAGGAGAAAUUGUACGUAACCGAAAAAGUCAAGCAACUUAGUUCUGAAGGUAACAAGCAAUCUCCGACACAUUCUUCUUCAGGGGCCAUGGUGAAGAAUCAGUAAGAUGAAAAUUACCAUACUUAGAGUCUUUUAAUCUAAUUUUUUUAAUUAUAUUAUAAAUUAUAAGAAUUAUCUAUAUUUUAAGCCUAUGAAAAGUUGUUUUUUGACAGCAAAAGUUAAUAUUUUUUAGUGAUUGUACCAAAAGUUAAUUUUAGUAGUAAUUGUUAUCUAUUGAUAGUAAAGAAUGAACCUUCAUUCAAUUUUUUUGUCACUUUACUCCUUAACCCCCCAAACCAAUAUAACAUUCCCUUGAUUUUAUAGUAUUUGUUUUCAUCAUAAUUUUAUAGAAUAGAUAUCUUAAGAAACAUCUACUGAUAAAAUUUUCCUCAGAAGAAAAAAAUCUACCUGGUAAAAUCUGAUUGUAAAAAAGUUGAAACACUUAUUGGAUCAGGAUGAUCUCUAAAUUACUCUAUUAUUACUAUAACUAGUUGUAGAAACUAACUUAGGAGUUAAUUGUAUAAGAAAGUGAACUACAUACUUGAGGUUGGGGCCUUCCGUGAACCACAUAUAUCUGUAUAAGCUCCAUCAUUGCAGAAACAUCUGAAUUCAGUUCCAUUGUUGCCACACGCACCACCAGAAUCAACACACCUCUGGCAAUCUGCAUAAUUUCCCAUCCACCUCAAAUCAAAACCGCCUUGUAAUGCUUCGUUUAUAUCAUCAAGAUUUGUAAUUCUUGUUACCGAAAUUGGAAUCGCAAUAAUAACACUCAGAUUGCAUGUGAGUGAGAGCGAACGAGGAUCCGAAAGGGUGUACACAACUUCAAUAUUACCUCCGCAGUUGGCACUAUAAACCACAUUCAAUACAGUUGUAUCACAAUUGUAUAACAGAUUUAGUUGAGAAGAAACACUACCAUAAGGUUGAAACUGGUCAGCGCUCUCAAAUGUGCUGUUAUUAGGCUUGUCACUCACACUCACACUCACAGUACAAAUACCACCCCAGUAAUCGUCUCUAGCGACUGUGAGUUUCUGUGUUGUAUUGUCCCAUUCAAGAAUACGGUAUUUG
This 15289-nucleotide long non-coding RNA is filed under the name Medicago truncatula (barrel medic). RNAcentral describes it as "long non-coding RNA (MTRU_LNC005374)". The record is from RNAcentral. Lineage: Eukaryota; Viridiplantae; Streptophyta; Magnoliopsida; Fabales; Fabaceae.